Molecule: ribosomal RNA, 468 nt
Filed under: uncultured bacterium
Lineage: Bacteria
Description: bacterial SSU rRNA
Rfam family: Bacterial small subunit ribosomal RNA
Source: RNAcentral
CCCUACGGGGCGCAGCAGUGGGGAAUAUUGGACAAUGGGGGGAACCCUGAUCCAGCCAUGCCGCGUGUGUGAAGAAGGCCUUUUGGUUGUAAAGCACUUUAAGCGAGGAGGAGGCUACUCUAGUUAAUACCUAGGGAUAGUGGACGUUACUCGCAGAAUAAGCACCGGCUAACUCUGUGCCAGCAGCCGCGGUAAUACAGAGGGUGCGAGCGUUAAUCGGAUUUACUGGGCGUAAAGCGUGCGUAGGUGGCCAAUUAAGUCAAAUGUGAAAUCCCCGAGCUUAACUUGGGAAUUGCAUUCGAUACUGGUUGGCUAGAGUAUGGGAGAGGAUGGUAGAAUUCCAGGUGUAGCGGUGAAAUGCGUAGAGAUCUGGAGGAAUACCGAUGGCGAAGGCAGCCAUCUGGCCUAAUACUGACACUGAGGUACGAAAGCAUGGGGAGCAAACAGGAUUAGAUACCCUUGUAGUCC